AGCGAACGCUGGCGGCAGGCCUAACACAUGCAAGUCGAACGAACUCUUCGGAGUUAGUGGCGGACGGGUGUGUAACACGUUGGAACGUGCCUUUUUGUUCGGAAUAACUCAGGGAAACUUGUGCUAAUACCGAAUGUGCCCUUCGGGGGAAAGAUUUAUCGCCAUUAGAGCGGCCCGCGUCUGAUUAGCUAGUUGGUGAGGUAACGGCUCACCAAGGCGACGAUCAGUAGCUGGUCUGAGAGGAUGACCAGCCACACUGGGACUGAGACACGGCCCAGACUACUACGGGAGGGAGCAGAGGGGAAUCGAGCGAAAUGGGGGAAAGCAUGAAGCAGCCAUGCCGGGUGAAUGAUGGAGGUAUGAGGAUAGUAAAAUUCUUUCACCGGGGAAGAUAAUGACGGUACCCGGAGAAGAAGCCCCGGCUAACUACGUG
This 433-nucleotide ribosomal RNA is filed under the name uncultured bacterium. RNAcentral's name for it is "partial 16S ribosomal RNA". It matches the Rfam family "Bacterial small subunit ribosomal RNA", at positions 29 to 507 of the family's 1533-position model. The record is from RNAcentral.